RNAcentral lists this ribosomal RNA (444 nucleotides) under uncultured bacterium. RNAcentral describes it as "partial 16S ribosomal RNA". It matches the Rfam family "Bacterial small subunit ribosomal RNA", at positions 338 to 795 of the family's 1533-position model. The record is from RNAcentral.
CCUACGGGUGGCAGCAGUGGGGAAUAUUGGGCAAUGGAGGAAACUCUGACCCAGCAAUGCCGCGUGAAUGAAGAAGGUCUUCGGAUUGUAAAGUUCUUUAGUCAGGGAAGAAUAAAAUGACGGUACCUGAAGAAUAAGCUCCGGCUAACUACGUGCCAGCAGCCGCGGUAAUACGUAGGGAGCAAGCGUUGUUCGGAAUGACUGGGCGUAAAGGGUGCGUAGGCGGUUAUACAAGUUAGAAGUGAAAUACCCAGGGCUUAACUCGGGUGCUGCUUCUAAAACUGUAAGACUUGAGUGCAGUAGAGGUUAGUGGAAUUCCUAGUGUAGCGGUGGAAUGCGUAGAUAUUAGGAGGAACACCGAUUGCGAAGGCAGCUUGCUGCAGCGGAACUGACGCUGAUGCUCGAAAGCGCGGGUAUCGAACAGGAUUAGAUACCCUAGUAGUC